This 1029-nucleotide long non-coding RNA is filed under the name Numida meleagris (helmeted guineafowl). Its description in RNAcentral is "lncRNA (ENSNMEG00000012880.1)". Lineage: Eukaryota; Metazoa; Chordata; Aves; Galliformes; Numididae. The record is from RNAcentral.
AUGAGAGGCCAGCUCCGGUGGCUGUGCAGGGAAGAGCAGCCCUCGACAGCCUGGCUCACUACCUGCACUGUGCCUGUGUACACAGCGGGAGUGUUCAACACCUUCUUGGUUUCUCUGACUGUAGUGCCACUUAGAAAUCAUCCGGAGAAACAGAGCGAAACAGAGAGAGGGAGAAUGAGCAGUGUUACACACCUCACUCUCUGGCCCAACCAAGGUGCUACCACAGAGGACAGGAAUACCUGUGGGACAGGCCUGGUAUCCUGUCGUGGUCCACACCGCCUGCUGCCAUCCAGCAGCCAUUGUGUUCCUCCUGUGCUGUGCUGUAGUACUGAAAGAAGUGAAGGGUUUUACCAAGGCUGCAGUGCUGAGCCUGCUCCCUACAGGCAACUGAGGGCCAAACACAGCUGUAUGGGAGAGGAGGUGAGAGGGCAGCAUGGGCCAGAAAGGCCUGCACUGUGCCUGCUCCAUUGCCAUGGCAUGACUUCAUGCUGCUGCUCUGUCACGCUGCAGGUGAAAUACUGCUGCUCUGUUUGGGAAGAGCUUGCAUUUUCCCCAUCCCCUGGGAAGGUCCCAUCCCGCAAUGGACUGGUGAUCCUGCCCCAGCAGUCACCUCCUGCUGCAGCAUUUCAUCCCCAGGGCCCUGAGGACACUGAGGGCAGUGAAUGCCACACUGUCUCACAUGUCCCGGGACAUCACAUUGGACAUCAAAGCCAGCCCUGGUUUGUCUCCUCAAGCUGCUGCAAUAGCAAGGCACCCUGGAAACCAUGCACCCCAACUCUGCUCUACAUGUGCAUCAGCUGCAUCAUCAGCCUGUUCCUCUGGGAACAAAACCCUGGCAGCAAAACAGCCACUCUGCUCAAAUGUGUCAAAGCAUAUUUGCCUGUCAAGGCAUAUUCCUCUUUCCCCCAAAAGAUGGCACUAGGAUUCACCAAAAGUGAGACACUCGGCACCCUAAACAUUUUAAUGUCUGUGAAAAAUGCUAGAGGCCCUCCACUGCAGUGCCCAUGUCUUUGCCCUUUAACCAAGUGA